RNAcentral lists this ribosomal RNA (497 nucleotides) under uncultured bacterium. RNAcentral's name for it is "partial 16S ribosomal RNA". It matches the Rfam family "Bacterial small subunit ribosomal RNA", at positions 28 to 507 of the family's 1533-position model. The record is from RNAcentral.
GAUGAACGCUGGCGGCGUGCCUAAUACAUGCAAGUCGAGCGAACAGAUGAGGAGCUUGCUCCUCUGACGUUAGCGGAGGACGGGUGAGUAACACGUGGAUAACCUACCUAUAAGACUGGGAUAACUUCGGGAAACCGGCGCUAAUACCGGAUAAUAUCUUGAACCGCAUGGUUCAAUGGUGAAAGACGGUGUUGCUGUAUCUUAUAGAUGGAUCCGGGCCGCUUUGGCUAGUUGGUAAGGUAACGGCUUACCACGGGAAGUAUGCGUAGGCGACGGCACAGGGGGGUCGGCGACACGGGAGGUGAGACACGGACAUGACUCCUACGGGAGGCAGCAGAAGGGAAUCGUAGGCAGUAGGCGGAAACCUGACGGAGCAACGCGACGUGAGUGACGGAAGUCUUCGGAUCGGAAAACUCUGUUACUAGGGAAGAACCAAUGUGGAAGGAAAUGUGCACGGCGUGACGGUAACUAAUCAGAAAGCACCGGCUAACUACGUG